RNAcentral lists this ribosomal RNA (309 nucleotides) under Marinomonas phaeophyticola. RNAcentral's name for it is "partial 23S ribosomal RNA". It matches the Rfam family "Bacterial large subunit ribosomal RNA", at positions 1 to 356 of the family's 2925-position model. Lineage: Bacteria; Pseudomonadati; Pseudomonadota; Gammaproteobacteria; Oceanospirillales; Oceanospirillaceae. The record is from RNAcentral.
GGUCAAGUGACCAAGCGUGCACGGUGGAUGCCUUGGCAGUCAGAGGCGAUGAAGGACGUGGUAAUCUGCGAUAAGGUUCGGGGAGUUGAUAAACAAACUUUGAUCCGAACAUUUCCGAAUGGGGAAACCCACCCGCUUGCGGGUAUCAUUAAGUGAAUACAUAGCUUAAUGAGGCGAACUCGGGGAACUGAAACAUCUAAGUACCCGAAGGAAAAGAAAUCAACCGAGAUUCCCUAAGUAGCGGCGAGCGAAAGGGGAUUAGCCCUUAAGUUGAUUUGGUGUUAGUAGAACAAGCUGGAAAGCUUGGCC